UGAAGAGUUCUAUUUAUCCUUUCUACCUGCC
This 31-nucleotide non-coding RNA is filed under the name Mus musculus (house mouse). The record is from RNAcentral. Lineage: Eukaryota; Metazoa; Chordata; Mammalia; Rodentia; Muridae.